UGUAACAGAAAGUUCACAUGUUAAAGCUCCUCAUUAUGAGCUGCUCUGGAUAAGAGCAUCAGCUAAACAGCUGAGAUGUAAAUGAGAUGUAAAUGUUGAGAGUUCCUCAACAGAUGAUGAAGAGGAAGGGCCAAUGAUGUGAAGGCCCAGAUCCAUCAGAGUAUCAAUGUUCUUCCUCUCUCUCCUCCCCUCUCACUGCAGACAUGAACCACUGGCUGAGAAACAUCCUGAUUCUGACUCUCUGGCUAGAGUGUAAAGGAGAAGACAGAGUGACCCAGCCAGCAGGAGAUGUCAUUGCUGCUGAAGGAGACACAGUUACACUUGGCUGUACUUUUGAGACGACUAACACAGGUCCAACUUUGUUCUGGUACAAACAGGAUGGAAACAACAGCCCCAAAUUCAUGUUGAGCCGCAUGCAAGGGGUCGAAGUAAAAACAGAGGAAGAGUUUAAAGAAAGAUUUUCAUCCACACUGGAUUCCACCUCAAGAUCAGUUCCUCUGAAGAUCCAGAAGCUUCAGCUGUCUGACUCUGCUGUGUACUACUGU
This is a non-coding RNA of Micropterus dolomieu (smallmouth bass), 545 nucleotides long. NCBI's taxonomy places the organism in Eukaryota, Metazoa, Chordata, Actinopteri, Centrarchiformes, Centrarchidae. The record is from the annotation of a RefSeq genome assembly.